UGCUGCCGUAGCUCAGUGGUAGAGCGCAUCCUUGGUAAGGCUGAGGUCGCGAGUUCAAUCCUCGCCGGCAGCACCAU
RNAcentral lists this transfer RNA (77 nucleotides) under Sphingobium indicum UT26S. Its description in RNAcentral is "Sphingobium japonicum UT26S tRNA-Thr (GGT)". It matches the Rfam family "tRNA". Rfam says of the family: Transfer RNA (tRNA) molecules are approximately 80 nucleotides in length. Their secondary structure includes four short double-helical elements and three loops (D, anti-codon, and T loops). The record is from RNAcentral. Lineage: Bacteria; Pseudomonadati; Pseudomonadota; Alphaproteobacteria; Sphingomonadales; Sphingobiaceae.